AUAAUCAUUUCAACUGUUUCCUACAAUCCACCUAGUUCCAUUCUGAAGUGGACUCUUUUGAUGAUCCGAAAAAUUCUUAAUAGAUAAAAUUAAGUCCCUGCAUUUUUUUUCUCAUUGAAUAUCCUGUUUCGCUGAUAAAUACAUCAUCAGAUUUCUGAAGUAAACUGUGUUGCGAUCAGAAUUUAUUAAAAAAUAAAAUAAAAUAAUAAUACACGACCUAUUAAGCAAUAUUGAAUAUGGUAGAUUUAAUAUAAUUUUCAUGUGUUAAAAUUCAUAAACAAAUGAUUUUAUAAAUCACAAGCAACUGCCUCUUUUCAUAAAACCAUUAAUUUUGAUGUGGAUAGUAUAAUAUAGUGUGAUGUGUACAGACCUUUGGUUUUUAUGAUUUAAAAUUGUCAGUGUAAUUUAUAAUACCACCAUAUUUCUGUUCAAAAGAUCUAUUCAAUCUGUUGACCUGGUAAAAUAAGAUCUGAAAUUGAUUGAUUCUUAGUUCAGAUGUAUUAAAUCAUCAAGUAUGCAUAAACUUUUAUUAAUAAAUACAUCUGUCAACUGUAAACAACUGUUGGUUGUGGCAUUAGUGGAGGGAGAGAAAGUCGUUGUUUUUGCCAUUACUGUUGUUGUUGCUGUAGUCAUGCUGUUUGUUGUAGAAGUGGUAGACAUGAAGGUGUUGUUCCUGGUGGUAACAGUAGAUGUUAUUGAUCUUGAGCAUAUGCCAACAUUUCCAGCUCUGUCUACAGCAACCAGUUCCAUUACUCCGGAACAACAAGAGGCGCUGUAGAAUGCAAGAGUGACGUUCACACCUCCAUCCCCGAUUACGGUGGUAGUGUUGAAGGUUCCUAUUUUAAUAUAUUUUAAAAUAUAAUUCAUUCCUGUGAUGCAAGUAUGCAUUACUUCAGUCUUCAGUAAUCAUUCUAAUAUUCUGACCUGCUACUCAAGAUACAUUUCUUAUUGUUAAGUGUUGAAAAAGUUGUGCUGCUUAAUAUUUUUGUGGAAAUCUUGAUACAUUUGUUUUCAGGAUUCUUUAAAGGUACAGAAAAAUAAAUCUUUGUAAGCUUAUAAA
Long non-coding RNA from Carassius carassius (crucian carp), 1060 nucleotides. RefSeq lists it as uncharacterized. The transcript has 2 exons. NCBI's taxonomy places the organism in Eukaryota, Metazoa, Chordata, Actinopteri, Cypriniformes, Cyprinidae. The record is from RefSeq and is a predicted model, not a curated record.